UAUGAUAGAGGCGCGGAAAUCAUCAGUAGCACCCCCACGGCGGCGGAAACCGCCGGUGCGAAAGGGCUUUCCGCCGAAGGGUAUCCGCUUUUCCGGACGGAUAUGCCUGGGCCGACGGACAACAUCCGGCGGACUGUCGUCCCCUCGCGGGGCGGAGAGCUGUCAG
This 166-nucleotide non-coding RNA is filed under the name bovine gut metagenome. Its description in RNAcentral is "Lysine riboswitch". It matches the Rfam family "Lysine riboswitch aptamer". From Rfam's summary of the family: Riboswitches are metabolite binding domains within certain messenger RNAs that serve as precision sensors for their corresponding targets. The record is from RNAcentral.